AAGCCUGCAGUCAUAGGGAGGGGUGAGACAAGAUUAAUCAUAUCAAAGGGGAUAAUAGCGCACACUUUCGUUUCGACAGUCACUUUUUGAAGGCAUUCACGGUGUUACGCCUGGUUGCACAUACGAAAAGUGAUGGAGGCAGAUGAAUGAAGGGGGAAAAAAGUGCUUGAGAGAAGUUCAAACCCUGCCUACUUUUGCAUUUUCAGAAUUCUCCUUACAUCAUCGACCUCUGACCUUCAGCGUGCUCUGAGUCGGAUUGCAGUCGAGUGUGAAGCAGCUUGGAAGACAGUCCCCACGUCCUGUCUGACGCCAUGGAAUUCUGCUGGAAAACAGAGGACUGCUAAUCAGGGUUAUCAUCAAAAUGAAAAGAAAAGGACAUUAUGUCCUAUUUCGCCCCCACAAAUAAAAACAAUGAUGAGGCAGACAUUGAGAUAGAUCCAGAUGAUCCAGAGAGAGCUGAAGAGAAACAGCAGGAAGUGGAGAGCGAGAAAGCCAGAGAGCAGGAAGGAGAGACAGAUGAGACCGGAGAGUGAGGCUGAGGGUGACAUACAAGCAGAGUGGGAGACACAAACAGGGGAUACAUCAUGUGCAUCCACAAGCACUGGACCAUCAGUUUGUCUUUCUCCACAGAUAACAGCAAAUGUAAAGAAGACCCAUCGAUGCAGCCAAACUUGAAAUUGUUUCUAAAGACCUUGUUGUGUUGGGGAACAGGAGGAGCUUCAAGGCGGCCUGGUACAACAUUCACCCCUAGCUCGAGUAUUCUAAACUAUCAGACUCUGCGUACUGUUACGCCUGCAGACAUUUUAGCCCUCCUAAUAGCACAGACACAGUAUCUGACUCACCAUCUGGAUUCAAAAACUGGAAGAAGGCAACCUACAGAGGGCGGGGUUUUGCAAUCCAUGCCAAGUCUGAGUGGCACAAACAAGCAAUGAUUACAUGGAGGUACUAUCAGAGAGCUGUUACAACUAAUGUAACACUGGCAAAUGUCCUAAACAAGGAACAUAACUGGUUGGAGAAAAUCGGGAAUAUAUGAAAACAACGAUAAAACGACAACAAUAAAAAAGGGAACUUCACAGCAAUUCUAGAGACAACUGCUAACAAGAUACAAGAUACCAGAUAGAUUUAUUGAUCAUUUUACAACACAGGCUUGUAUAAUGAGAUUUUGUUUUGUAGUUCCCUUUAUGCUACAAAAAAUGAUAUACAGUACAGUAGAUCAGUGCUGAGGAUGAAUUUUUAUGGCUCCUCUGUAAAAGUUAAUAAGAACAUGGCAAAUAAGAACCAUGACAAAGCUGUUAAAAAGGUUGACUUCCAUAUAUAAUGCAAAGUACACAAGCAAACUCAUCCAGGAUGAGGUUCUGGAUUGUUUGGCAGACAAGGUUCCAAUCGAAAUUACAGAAGAAGUGAAAAACAGUUUAGUCUUCAGCAUCAUGGCAGAUGAAACAAAAGAUGUAAAAAAACAGAACACACAUCUCUAUUACUCAGGUACUAUUUCAACGGAGCAAGUGUUUUUUCCAUUUUGAACCUGCCAAGAGGCUCGAUGCACCAGGGCUUACUGAAAUCAUAAUCCACAUAUUGGAAAGUCAUGGUCUAGAAUACGAAAACAACCUUAUAGGCCAAGCAUAUGACGGUGCAGCCGUCAUGAAUGGUAAGCAUUCCAGGGUCCAGGCUAGAAUCAAAGAGCAAGCGAAAUAUGCCUUUUACAUCCAUUGCAAUGCCCACUGUCCAAAUUUAGUUUGAGUAGAUACAGUCAAAGCUGUCCCAGAGGCAGAGGAGUUGUUCUCCCUACUUGAAAAACUAUAUGUAUUGACAUCUGGGUCAUAUGUCCAUCCUAAAUGGCUAACUAUACAAAGAGAGAUGUACGAAGGUGCACCAAGAGAACUCCAGCGGUUAAGCGACACGAUGGGCAUGUCGAUUUAUAGCUCUACGAAACAUUAUGGAUAGAUUGCCUGCCCUUAAGCGAGUACUGCAAGAGAUAGCCCAAGAAUGGAAUGGUGAAAGGAUGUAUUGAGGCUGGAAGUCUGCUGCCACAAAUAAAUCUUGAAUUCACUGUGCAUCUUGUUCUCCGUUAAGUGUUUGGAAAACUUCUCUCUGAUAUGCUACAGUCUUCAUCACUUGACUUUUCAAAAGCUGUUGAUUUAGUUGAAGCUUUAGUUCAGACAUUGAAUGACUUCACUCGGUGAACACUGUGUACUGACUACUGUUGGUCAGAGAGUCAGAACCAGAUAAAGACAGGUUUCGUGCAGCCUUUUUCGACCCCGUCAUUGAUCAGAUGCUCAAGGAGCUUAACAGAUGGUUUUCAAUAACAAACUGUGACAUAAUGAACCCCAAAAGUGAUGCAUUUCUGAAAGAGACAGCUCUGUUUUAAUUUUCUUGAUUGUAUGAUUCAAAUAUUGAUGACUUUGGGCAUGAACUACAUCAGUUCAGCCAAAUUCUACAAAGUAAAAUACAGACUGGGAUGCAGAGCCCCUGUAGUACAGUAGAGUUGGUACUGUUAGUGAGCCGUAUAGAGAAGUGUUUUUUGAGCUCUUCAGACUCAAAAUAGCAGUUGCAAUCCCAGAGCGUACUGCUUCUUGUGAGCGGAGUUUUUCUACUCUGAAGCUGCUGAAAACUUACCUCAGGUCCAGCAUAACCGAUGAGAGACUGAGCAAUCACAAAAAACGCAGAAUACAGUUGAUGUAAUGUGAAAUUCUAGAAAGGAAAAUACAGACUGGGAUGCAGGGCCCCUCUCGUACAGUAGAGCUUUUAUUGUUCAUUGAGCCUUGAGCUGAAGCUAACAGGAAUGUCUUUUAUUUUGUUUUCAAUAUUGUAAUUUAAUAAAAUUGUAACUAUAACUGUAAGUAAAUGAAACAUAUAACAAUCAUGGUAAUUUAUGUUGUUUUUUUUGUGUGCUAUUACUUUAUAUACUGAACAAAUCAUUUUGAAAGCUUGAACACUGUCUUUGUCUCUUUUGUCCCCGGUCGAAUAUGCCCCUCUG
This is a long non-coding RNA of Siniperca chuatsi (mandarin fish), 2974 nucleotides long. RefSeq lists it as uncharacterized. The record is from RefSeq and is a predicted model, not a curated record. The transcript is spliced from 4 exons. Lineage: Eukaryota; Metazoa; Chordata; Actinopteri; Centrarchiformes; Sinipercidae.